This 254-nucleotide ribosomal RNA is filed under the name uncultured bacterium. Its description in RNAcentral is "partial 16S ribosomal RNA". It matches the Rfam family "Bacterial small subunit ribosomal RNA", at positions 524 to 776 of the family's 1533-position model. The record is from RNAcentral.
UACGUAGGGUCCGAGCGUUGUCCGGAAUUACUGGGCGUAAAGAGCUCGUAGGCGGUGUGUCACGUCGGCCGUGAAAACCUGCAGCUUAACUGUGGGCGUGCGGUCGAUACGGGCAUCACUGGAGUUCGGCAGGGGAGACUGGAAUUCCUGGUGUAGCGGUGAAAUGCGCAGAUAUCAGGAGGAACACCGGUGGCGAAGGCGGCGAUCUGGGUAGAUACUGACGCUGAGGUGCGAAAGCGUGGGGAGCAAACAGG